UUAGGCCCAGGGCCUCUUUCGGCCCAAAUCGCAACUCCGGCACGGCGGCUCCGCCGUGCUCCGGCGACGGCGCCGCCGCUGGCGGCGGCGAGUCGCCUCGGGUUGGCCGUUUUCGGCCGAAUUCGGCCACACUCGCAUUGGUCCUUGUCAGAAAACAACCCUAGGGCCCUCGGGGGGCCAAAAAAUCACGGAAAAACGGAGCUUACCGGCGGCGGCGCUCUCGGGUGCAGCGGCUCUCCGGCGAGGUUCGUGUUUUGGUGAUUCGGCUCUGGUCAACCUGUAGAGAAAAGAAUGGUGAUCACGGUGAUAUAAAAAUUGCAUCGAACGGAGGCCGGGAAGGGCCUCGUCGGAGGCAAAAACCGAGAGGGGGCGCGGCGGCGCCGCUGGGCUUCGGCCGCGUAUUCCGG
RNAcentral lists this long non-coding RNA (407 nucleotides) under Carica papaya (papaya). RNAcentral describes it as "long non-coding RNA (CPAP_LNC004810)". The record is from RNAcentral. Lineage: Eukaryota; Viridiplantae; Streptophyta; Magnoliopsida; Brassicales; Caricaceae.